RNAcentral lists this ribosomal RNA (252 nucleotides) under uncultured bacterium. RNAcentral describes it as "partial 16S ribosomal RNA". It matches the Rfam family "Bacterial small subunit ribosomal RNA", at positions 524 to 776 of the family's 1533-position model. The record is from RNAcentral.
UACGGAGGAUGCGAGCGUUAUCCGGAUUUAUUGGGUUUAAAGGGUGCGCAGGCGGCGUGUCAAGCAAGCGGUAAAAUAGCGGGGCUCAACCCCGUCGAGCCGUUUGAACUGGCGCGCUUGAGUUCAGGCGAGGUAGGCGGAAUGCGUGGUGUAGCGGUGAAAUGCAUAGAUAUCACGCAGAACUCCGAUUGCGAAGGCAGCGCACCGGCGCCCUACUGACGCUCAGGCACGAAAGCGUGGGUAUCGAACAGG